CUACCUAGCUAGAUAUUGACAGUUCACUGGAGUAAUUUUAAAUAUAAAAAAGGACGAACGAUAGUCGUUGGUAGCUACGACAUUUUCGGCAGAGAAUAUAAAGUUGGCUAGAUAGUUAUUCGUGUGGUUUGCGUAUUGCUGCUUUUCACAGUUCGGGAAGUGAAUUAGCUACAUUUUGUCCACUAUUUUAUUUUUUUAAUGGGGGUGAGAAAUUGCAUCACCAUCUAACUGUAGAUAUAUCACCCGUCCCACUACUUUGGUCCUUACAGAUCCUGGCUAGUUAGUUAAACCACACACGCUAAUAGUAGCUACCAGCUAACGUUAGCUAGCGAACCAAGUUAAUAACAGGAUCAGGAAGCGAACAUACCUGUAUUCAUAGUGUUCGUCGUUAUAUUUGUCUGAGUAGUAGAUUUGUUUGUGUGACAUAUUGCCAAUAAACAACUUUGACAGUAUACACAUGCAAUUCCACUGCACUUUGUCAGAAAGUAUUCCACGGACGUCCCCACUGCUAGCUUCGUUGCAGCACGUUUGGCUAACCGAUUCAAACCUACGGGAGGAAAAAAAAGAAGCCUUUUACCAAGCCACUGAUUGGAUAAAAAGGGAUCACAUGACAAUAAGCCCACCCCUCUCCCCCAUCUCAUCGACUGCCAACCGACGAGGAGGAGAGGUGCGGGGUCCCCGCCAGGGACAUCCUAGACCCAUGCCUCAUCGUGGAUUUCCAAUGCCGACACCCCUGUUAACCAGUGUUAUUAUAACCGGAAGAAUCGGCACCUGCGUUCAGAAUGGAUUCUUCCACUAUUCUGCAAGCCUACCCUGAAUGAGUCAUCCAGCUCGUCUCUUAUUGGAUAAGACCAUUCCAUCCCGAGGGACUGCCUUCCUUGCAGAGAGAGAGAUAGAAAGGCCUUGCUCCAUUCACAGAAACAUUGGUAUGUGAGCCUAGCUGUUUCAUUCACAUAAAGACUAAAUAAUAUUUGCCUUCAUCGUUCUGAUUCUUCUAUCGUCUUCUUUCUCUUGUCUGAUUUAAGAGAAGCUUCUUUUAUCUCUCCUUCCUUUUUUGUUUGCUUUUGUUUCUGAGGAGAAAGCAAACGUGCUUUCCUUUUUUUCUGGAUUUGCCAGGCAGGAAGGCGAGAGAGAGAGAGCGAGAGAGAGAGAGAG
This is a long non-coding RNA of Oncorhynchus gorbuscha (pink salmon), 1155 nucleotides long. RefSeq lists it as uncharacterized. The transcript is spliced from 3 exons. NCBI's taxonomy places the organism in Eukaryota, Metazoa, Chordata, Actinopteri, Salmoniformes, Salmonidae. The record is from RefSeq and is a predicted model, not a curated record.